This 253-nucleotide ribosomal RNA is filed under the name uncultured bacterium. RNAcentral's name for it is "partial 16S ribosomal RNA". It matches the Rfam family "Bacterial small subunit ribosomal RNA", at positions 524 to 776 of the family's 1533-position model. The record is from RNAcentral.
UACGAAGGGUGCAAGCGUUAGUCGGAAUUACUGGGCGUAAAGCGUGCGUAGGUGGUUUCUUAAGUCCGUUGUGAAAGCCCUGGGCUCAACCUGGGAACUGCAGUGGAUACUGAGAGGCUAGAGUGUGUCAGAGGAUGGCGGAAUUCCCGGUGUAGCGGUGAAAUGCGUAGAGAUCGGGAGGAACAUCAGUGGCGAAGGCGGCCAUCUGGGACAACACUGACGCUGAGGCACGAAAGCGUGGGGAGCAAACAGG